Molecule: ribosomal RNA, 3010 nt
Filed under: Rhodococcus sp. 66b
Lineage: Bacteria; Bacillati; Actinomycetota; Actinomycetes; Mycobacteriales; Nocardiaceae
Description: bacterial LSU rRNA
Rfam family: Bacterial large subunit ribosomal RNA
Source: RNAcentral
AGAGCGUACGGUGGAUGCCUUGGCACCAGGAGCCGAUGAAGGACGUAGGAGGCUGCGAUAAGCCUCGGGGAGCUGUCAACCGAGCUGUGAUCCGAGGAUGUCCGAAUGGGGAAACCCAGCACGAGUGAUGUCGUGUUACCCGCGCCUGAAUAUAUAGGGCGUGUGGAGGGAACGUGGGGAAGUGAAACAUCUCAGUACCCACAGGAAGAGAAAACAACCGUGAUUCCGUGAGUAGUGGCGAGCGAAAGCGGAAGAGGCUAAACCAUGGGUGUGUGAUAGCCGGCAGGUGUUGCAUUCGUGGGGUUGUGGGGUUCAUUUUGUCUGUUCUGCCGAGCAGGCCAACAGUAAGAAAUCACAGGGUUAGUGGAAGUGGUCUGGAACGGCCUGUCGUAGAGGGUGAGAAUCCCGUACACGAAAACUUUGUGACUGUUGUAAUGGAAACCCAAGUAGCACCGGGCCCGUGAAAUCUGGUGUGAAUCUGUCGGGACCACCCGAUAAGCCUGAAUACUCCCUGGUGACCGAUAGCGGACUAGUACCGUGAGGGAAAGGUGAAAAGUACCCCGGGAGGGGAGUGAAAUAGUACCUGAAACCGUGCGCUUACAAUCCGUCAGAGCCUUCGAACAGUUUACUGUUGGGGGUGAUGGCGUGCCUUUUGAAGAAUGAGCCUGCGAGUUAGUGGCAUGUCGCGAGGUUAACCCGUGUGGGGUAGCCGUAGCGAAAGCGAGUCCGAAUAGGGCGAUCGUAGUGGCAUGCUCUAGACCCGAAGCGGAGUGAUCUACCCAUGGCCAGGUUGAAGCGACGGUAAGACGUCGUGGAGGACCGAACCCACUUAGGUUGAAAACUGAGGGGAUGAGUUGUGGGUAGGGGUGAAAGGCCAAUCAAACUCCGUGAUAGCUGGUUCUCCCCGAAAUGCAUUUAGGUGCAGCGUCGCGUGUUUCUCACCGGAGGUAGAGCUACUGGAUGGUCUAGGGGGCCCACAAGCUUACCGAAAUCAGCCAAACUCCGAAUGCCGGUGAGUGAGAGCGCGGCAGUGAGACUGCGGGCGAUAAGGUUCGUAGUCGAGAGGGAAACAGCCCAGAUCGCCAGCUAAGGUCCCUAAGCGUGUACUAAGUGGAAAAGGAUGUGGGGUCGCGAAGACAACCAGGAGGUUGGCUUAGAAGCAGCCACCCUUGAAAGAGUGCGUAAUAGCUCACUGGUCAAGUGAUCCUGCGCCGACAAUGUAGCGGGGCUCAAGUACACCACCGAAGCUGCGGCAUUCACGCAAUAGCCCCCCUUCACUCUGCGGAGUGUUGGGCAGGUGUGUGGAUGGGUAGGGGAGCGUCGUGUGGCCAUGGAAGCGGCAGGGUGACCUAGCCGUGGAGGCCACACGAGUGAGAAUGCAGGCAUGAGUAGCGAAAGACGAGUGAGAAACUCGUCCGCCGAAUGACCAAGGGUUCCUGGGCCAGGUUAAUCCGCCCAGGGUGAGUCGGGACCUAAGACGAGGCCGACAGGCGUAGCCGAUGGACAACGGGUUGAUAUUCCCGUACCCGUGUGAACGCGCCCAUGGUGAAUCAGUGAUACUAACCAUCCUGAAGCCACGAGAAGACCUUCGGGUCUCGAGUUGGUGGAUGCAUGGGACCUGAUCUGGUAGUAGCCAAGCGAUGGGGUGACGCAGGAAGGUAGCUGAGCCAGUCAGUGGUAAUACUGGUGUAAGCGUGUAGGGCGUGACCUAGGCAAAUCCGGGUCACACAUAGCCUGAGACGUGAUGCGUAGCCGAUUGAGGCGAAUUCAGUGAUCCUAUGCUGCCGAGAAAAGCCUCUAGCGAGCUUUCACACGGCCCGUACCCCAAACCGACACAGGUGGUCAGGUAGAGAAUACUAAGGCGAUCGAGAUAACUAUGGUUAAGGAACUCGGCAAAAUGCCCCCGUAACUUCGGGAGAAGGGGGGCCCUGUUUGGUGACGACAUUUACUGUCUGAGCUGGGUGGGGCCGCAGAGACCAGUGAGAAGCGACUGUUUACUAAAAACACAGGUCCGUGCGAAGUCGUAAGACGAUGUAUACGGACUGACGCCUGCCCGGUGCUGGAAGGUUAAGAGGACCGGUUAGUUCCUUCGGGAGCGAAGCUGAGAAUUUAAGCCCCAGUAAACGGCGGUGGUAACUAUAACCAUCCUAAGGUAGCGAAAUUCCUUGUCGGGUAAGUUCCGACCUGCACGAAUGGCGUAACGACUUCUCAGCUGUCUCAACCGUAGACUCGGCGAAAUUGCAUUACGAGUAAAGAUGCUCGUUACGCGCGGCAGGACGAAAAGACCCCGGGACCUUCACUACAGCUUGGUAUUGGUGUUCGGUUCGGUUUGUGUAGGAUAGGUGGGAGACUGUGAAACGGUGACGCCAGUUAUCGUGGAGUCGUUGUUGAAAUACCACUCUGAUCGAAUUGGACCUCUAACCUCGGACCAUGAUCUGGUUCAGGGACAGUGCCUGGUGGGUAGUUUAACUGGGGCGGUUGCCUCCCAAAAUGUAACGGAGGCGCCCAAAGGUUCCCUCAGCCUGGUUGGCAAUCAGGUGUCGAGUGCAAGUGCACAAGGGAGCUUGACUGUGAGACUGACAGGUCGAGCAGGGACGAAAGUCGGGACUAGUGAUCCGGCACCGGCAAGUGGAAGCGGUGUCGCUCAACGGAUAAAAGGUACCCCGGGGAUAACAGGCUGAUCUUCCCCAAGAGUCCAUAUCGACGGGAUGGUUUGGCACCUCGAUGUCGGCUCGUCGCAUCCUGGGGCUGGAGUAGGUCCCAAGGGUUGGGCUGUUCGCCCAUUAAAGCGGCACGCGAGCUGGGUUUAGAACGUCGUGAGACAGUUCGGUCUCUAUCCGCCGCGCGCGUUAGAAACUUGAGGAAGGCUGUCCCUAGUACGAGAGGACCGGGACGGACGAACCUCUGGUGUGCCAGUUGUUCCGCCAGGAGCACCGCUGGUUAGCUACGUUCGGAAGGGAUAACCGCUGAAAGCAUCUAAGCGGGAAGCCUGUUCCAAGAUGAGGUUUCU